GAGGUAAGCAACAAGCCUUGUGUUUUCGUGCGCUGCAUGACGAAACUUUUUCAUAUCAAGGAAGAUCAGCGUCUGUGAGAGAUCGAUCAAAAUCCCACAAACAAAACGACAAAGCUUCAUGCAUAUAGUCGACUGGAAAUGACUCCAGGCCGGGCUUAGAAGUUAAGAAUGAAUGCAGUAACUCCGGGAACUCUAACUCUCACGGCAGAUUCCAGAUGGAGGAGGAAGGAGAUGAUAGACACAUACGAAGCUCUUCUCAAGCAGUAUGGAAACUCCAAGUCACUCAGACGGGUUCACUCACAGAUGAUCUCUAAUGGUCUCGACGGGGAUACGUACCUGGGAAAUCUCUUGGUGCAAAUGUAUGGAAGGUGUGGAAGCCUGGACGACGCUCGAGCUGCUUACCGAGGGAUCCACCAGCGGAACGUGUUCUCCUGGACGAUACUCAUCUCGCUUCUUGUCCAGAAUGGUCGAUGCAGUGACGCUGAUUAGCGUCCUGGAGGCUUGUGCGAGCCUGAGAGCAUUGGUAGAAGGAAAGACAAUUCACGAGAGGAUAGUUGCAAGUGGAGUAGAGACGGAUGUGUUUGUGGGAACUGCAGUGAGCUUCUACGGAAAAUGCGAGGCUGUAGAAGACGCAAGACAGGUGUUUGAUCGGGUAAUGGACAAAGACAUUGUUUGCUGGAAUGCAAUGACCGGAGCGUAUGCACAGCACCAUUGCGAGGAGAAAGCGUUUGCAUUGUACCUGGAGAUGGUGGAGAAUAAAUUGCCGCUCAUCACGCUCCUGGACUCUUGUUCGAGCACCUGCAAAAUGGAAAGGGGAUCGUCACUCCACAGAGAAGCUGCUGCUAGAGGAUACCUGUCCCACACGUCCGUCGUCAACGCGCUCAUCAACAUGUAUGCCAAGUGUGGAAGCCUCGAAAACGCGACGAGAGUGUUUAUCGAGGCAACAAACCGCACUACCAACGCGAUCACCUGGAACACCAUGAUAGUAGCCAACGCACAGGAGGAUCUAAAUCUCGAGGCCCUGCAAAUAUACCACAGAAUGAAUCAAGAAGGGAUAAAAGCAAGCGACGUUACUUACGGUACUGUUCUUGCUGUCUGUGCCAAUCUUGGUGAAUUUACCACGGGCCGAGAAGUCCACUCUCGCAGUCUUGCCACUAGAUGCUGCUCGGACGUCGU
RNAcentral lists this long non-coding RNA (1176 nucleotides) under Selaginella moellendorffii. RNAcentral describes it as "long non-coding RNA (SMOE_LNC002284)". Lineage: Eukaryota; Viridiplantae; Streptophyta; Lycopodiopsida; Selaginellales; Selaginellaceae. The record is from RNAcentral.